GGUUCGCAGGUCUGCACUGGGUAUCGCUUAUCAUUCCGUGAGUGUCUGGUCAUUUUUUAAAUUUCUUUUUUCAGUUCGUGGGGCGGCGGUUGUUUGUUCUAGGUAAGGAGGUGAUUGGUGGGGUUGGAAAAGGCCGGGCGGAGACGGCGGAGCGAAGGCGGUGUUUCCUCGCCUGUGAGGCAGAAAUUGCGCGCGGCGAGUUCCCCGCAAGGAGAGCUUGUAGGCAGGAGGCGUGCUCCACAGGGAGAGAUGUCGGCCUGGAGAGGAGCACGGCGGAGCUGCCCCGUCGUGCUUGCCACCAGCAAGCUCCAGUCGGUGGAGGCAGUUGCAGUCGCUGGCGCUAGUGGGGCGCAAGAUGGUCAUAUCGCAUUCAGCAAGGAUGGCUGGGAGGAAUUCACGGAGGAGAACGACCUAAAAUAGGUUGGCCGAGUGGUGCUAAUCACCGUCAGGAAUAGUGCAUUGGACAAUCUAGACAUGAUGGUUGUCGUCAACCUGAUUUGAGAUUACCAUCAGUGUUAAUGCUCUAGUUUUUCUCGUUGUUAUCUAUGUCUUACUGCUAUCAGCUGUCUUUGUCGCUCCGCGGGAUGGACGAACUAUGUGUCUUCUCUCUUUUAUAGAUAUCCUUUUUUUUGGUUAUGUAUGGCACUGUCAAGAACUAUUUAAUAUGGGGCCUGAAAACCUUUUAACUGCUAGUCUAUUUGGUUAGUGUUCAGCUUUAACAUGGAGGCUUUGUGUUUAGUUUUUAUCAGUAUUUUGGAUUUCUUUGGACCGACCAUUUUUUCAAUGGUGGGAGUAACUUUUCAAUUAUUUGAAAUUCAGUAUUCAGUAUACUGUCAAAUUCAGUUAUGUCAGUAAGAUCGAACUCCUCAGAUCAUUGUGUUUGAUGGAAGUUUUUUUUGUCCGGUUUUCAGUGUUUUGCAUUUUUUUCAUUAUUGUCCGGAGUUGUUUGGUGUGGGUCUUCAGUAAGAAGUUUUAAAGAAGUAACCACAUUUCUGCCACUAGCAUUCGUCAUAUUUCUAUUUUUUCUGAAAAGAAAUGGGAUUAUCUCCAGUCACUAGUACUCCCUCCGUUCCAUAAUGUAGUGCAUAUAGAUUUUUUGAAAAGUCAAACUUUGAACAAGUUUAUGAAGAAAACUAUUUAUAUCUACAAUACCAAAUAUAUGAAUUAUGAAACUACGUCUUAUGAUGAUUCUAAUGAUAUAUGUUUGGCAUUCUAGAUGUAAAUAUUUUUCUCCACAAACUUGAUCAAAGUUUGUGAUAUUUGACUUUUCCAUUAGUAUUGUUUUACUUCUUUGGUUAUAUCCUUAUUUAGCCAUUCUUUUGACUUUGGUUUUAUUCGUCUGUCAGUCUAGUGUCUGAAGCCGUAGGUGUCAAAUUCAAUUAACAGUUUUGUGUUCAGUGUUAGGUGCCGUUUUCAGUUUCGUCAGUUUUCAGUUCUGUCAGCUAACGGCAUUCUCCGUUACGUCUGCUUCGGUUAUCCCCUUUCUUUCAGCGGAAAGGAAUGCAUAGAGUGGUGCAAAAUGAGGCGGCCAUUCUGUAGGAGCAGCGACGUGGGAACUCGGAUGUUGGCGGCGGCGGCGCAACUCCACAUAUUUGGAACAAUGCUAGCUCCAUCCCCACCAUCAUGUAGCCGAGUCAAUGAGACGAAAUCAUCUGUCUGAAGGUUGUGAAGCAUCGAAGUAGUUCUUCCACCGUUGCCCAGAUGAGUAUCAUUAGUUGAAGUUCUACUUGCAU
Molecule: long non-coding RNA, 1733 nt
Organism: Aegilops tauschii subsp. strangulata
Lineage: Eukaryota; Viridiplantae; Streptophyta; Magnoliopsida; Poales; Poaceae
Source: RefSeq, a predicted model, not a curated record